Molecule: ribosomal RNA, 239 nt
Filed under: uncultured bacterium
Lineage: Bacteria
Description: partial 16S ribosomal RNA
Rfam family: Bacterial small subunit ribosomal RNA
Source: RNAcentral
GAUCAUGGCUCAGGAUGAACGCUGGCGGCGUGCUUAACACAUGCAAGUCGAACGAAGCACUUAAGAUUGAUUCUUCGGAUGACGUCUUUUGUGACUGAGCGGCGGACGGGUGAGUAACGCGUGGGUAACCUGCCUCAUACAGGGGGAUAACAGUUAGAAAUGACUGCUAAUACCGCAUAAGACCACGGUACCGCAUGGUACAGUGGUAAAAACUCCGGUGGUAUGAGAUGGACCCGCGU